RNAcentral lists this ribosomal RNA (254 nucleotides) under uncultured bacterium. RNAcentral describes it as "partial 16S ribosomal RNA". It matches the Rfam family "Bacterial small subunit ribosomal RNA", at positions 524 to 776 of the family's 1533-position model. The record is from RNAcentral.
UACGGGGGGAGCAAGCGUUGUUCGGAUUUACUGGGCGUAAAGGGCGCGUAGGCGGCCACCGCAAGUCGACUGUGAAAUCUCCGGGCUUAACCCGGAAAGGUCAGCCGAUACUGCGGGGCUAGAGUGCAGAAGGGGCAACUGGAAUUCUCGGUGUAGCGGUGAAAUGCGUAGAUAUCGAGAGGAACACCUGCGGCGAAGGCGGCUUACUGGCUCGUAUCUGACGCUCAGGCGCGACAGCGUGGGGAUCAAACAGG